RNAcentral lists this long non-coding RNA (1384 nucleotides) under Triticum aestivum (bread wheat). RNAcentral describes it as "long non-coding RNA (TAES_LNC010429)". The record is from RNAcentral. Lineage: Eukaryota; Viridiplantae; Streptophyta; Magnoliopsida; Poales; Poaceae.
AAGUAUUUCCAAAGAAUGAUCAUAUAUUACACAAAUAUUCAAUAUGCAUCCAUCCAUUUUUAUAUAUACCACAUCAACUUACAAAAUCCUCCAUGAAAUGAUAAUUUACAAAAUAUAUUGCCAAAAUAUAUCACACAACAAGGUUAGGAACCAAUACAAUCCAAUUUACAACAACAGAACAUAUGAUACUAUUGAGCUUGUUAUUCAGGUUCUUGUCAUCAGCCCUCCUAAUGGUAAGUAUCAUGUCAUGGCGGAUUGUGAUGGCCAGCACCAAGAAGCCUGCUACCCAAUCAUACCUAACAUAUUUACAACAACAUUAGAUAGUAGUAGACAAUAGAAAUAAGAGAAUAAGAACAAACUUCAAAAAUAAAUUAACAGUUGUCCAAAUUUCUUAAAUUUUACUAUGCCUACAUACGAGAAUAACAAAGUAUCUAAUCAAGUGAGGUUGCCUAAAAUUAAUCCAAAUAAAAGUGGGUUAAAUGAAAGUCUAAUCAAGUUGACAUAUAAGUGACAACGUAACAGAACAUACAUCAGAGAACACAAGUACUCAGUAGCAGUUGAGGCCAUAUAAACCCGACGGCAAAAUGGCAUUCAAAUUUUCAUGUGUCAAGAUGUAUACACGUGAAACUAAAUGUUUAUCCGAGGCACUUACACUAGUAAAAAACAACUGCUUGACAAGUUAACUUCAAAUGGCAUGCAAAAUAACUAUAAGGUGCGGCCACUAAUAAAUCUAUAGAACUAAGUGGCAAAUGGUUCUCUUAGGAGAUACUGGAUAGAUGUAUAAACUAUUGCUCUUAAAAACAUGCAUGCUGGGGUUACUUUAAUUCAAGUGCAUGAGAUGAUAAAUUUCAUCAAGAUCCAAGGGGCACAAACAAAUUAGUAAAAAAUCACACCAUGGUGAAAAAUGCCUAACUCAGAACUAAAUCAACUAAAUAGGUGCAGUUCAGUAGCAGUUGAGCUGGGGAAUGUAAAUACCGGAGAAAUCAUAGGAGUGGCAAUAGAGCCAACCCCUGGAUUAUCACAGAGCAGCUCCACCACAGUUAUCACGGCCGCCCUCUCGAGCUCUCUUUUGCGCCAUGCAGCGGCACAGCUGCUAUGGCACCGCCUAGACCUACUUACAUCCUGAAAAACAGAAAUCAUAAUCAAGGAGAUUACAGUGUUAAUUGAUCAUAAAAAAGAUGGGAAAACAUCAGGGAAAAGAUUUAGGAUCAGAGAGUAGACAUCAAUCCUUACUUGUCGGCAAAACUACUGUGGAGGUCGACCUGGCAGGGAGCACAUGAGUUGAAGAAAUAUGUGUCACUGUGUUGGCAACUGCUAGCUUGGUGCGUGCCUCCAGGUUGAGGGAGAGUGAACUUACAUGGCAUUGGUUCUAGUACUAGUAGGC